RNAcentral lists this long non-coding RNA (3691 nucleotides) under Fragaria vesca (wild strawberry). Its description in RNAcentral is "long non-coding RNA (FVES_LNC005536)". Lineage: Eukaryota; Viridiplantae; Streptophyta; Magnoliopsida; Rosales; Rosaceae. The record is from RNAcentral.
CGCGUCCAACGCUCACGUCACGCCUUAAUGCGGUGCUACACUACGCCAUCAAGGUGGACAGACGGGUGUAUAAAUAUGUGUCCAUACCCCCUAUAUGAAUUAAACACUCAUAUAGGGCUACUACGCUCACGUCACACCAUAAUGCGGCUAUAUGCUACGCCAUUAAGGUGGACAGACACAUAUGGCUAGCUAGCAUUUAUAUACAUACUCUCUCAUAAAUACAUAUUUAUAUCCACCGAAAAACUCUCUCUCAGAGAAAUAAAAGCGUCAAAAUUAAUUGACGGUAAAACUCCAACAAAAGGAAAUGUUCAAUCAUGAACCAUAGCAUGCAUAUUAUUUCAAAUAAAGUCCACUCACGAAUUAGGCCUAAGCCUGAUGUCAAUCUGGGGUCUCGUCUGCUCGAGCCUCUUCACGUCCUGUUCCAAAUAUAAUAUUAAUUUCCCAACCAAUAUCCAAUAUUUAAUCAAAAUAGGCAAAAUUACCCGAGAGCCAUUAAUACGCUCAUCAUUGCCUAACUUUGAUAUUCUUACAUCGGAACAAUCCGAACUUAAAUAUCAUACUCAACAGUCGUAAAUACAACCUCUCCAAAAUACGACUUAAAUCCUACGGCCGGAUUCUACAUUAAUUAACCGCCAAAAAUACCAAACUUCGGAAAUUCACAAACCUAUCCAAAUCUCAUCCAAAAAUUCCAUAAUUCACUUCAAUAAUAUCCCCUUAAUAUUCUACAUCAAAAACCAUAAAAUUUCCCAAAACAGCGGCGGCGCCGCCGGCGGCUCCGCCGGCAGCGGCAGCCGGCGACCAACUCUGGCAACCUGCAAAUGCUACCAAAUUUUAACAGAAUCUUCCUCUCAAUCUCCUCUACAACUUUCAUGACCAACACAAACUCCAAUUCUAAGCCUAAUCAUGUCGAUCGAACACAAACAACCAUAAAUCCCUAAAACUUUCAAUUAUACAAACCACCCUAACGAAAUCGAAUUAAGCCGAAACCUUUUGAGGGAUUACUCACCUAGAUGAGGGCUACAAGUUGAGCCAAAAAUCACGACCUAUGGUGGCCGGAGGACGGAACUCCGGCGAAGACACAGUCGGCGGUUCCGGCGGCUUUUCUCCUCUCCGGCGGGUUAGAGGCUCGGGGGCUAGGCCGGGGAGGGAGGAGGAGGUNNNNNNNNNNNNNNNNNNNNNNNNNNNNNNNNNNNNNNNNNNNNNNNNNNNNNNNNNNNNNNNNNNNNNNNNNNNNNNNNNNNNNNNNNNNNNNNNNNNNNNNNNNNNNNNNNNNNNNNNNNNNNNNNNNNNNNNNNNNNNNNNNNNNNNNNNNNNNNNNNNNNNNNNNNNNNNNNNNNNNCCAAAAUUUAACACCCCGAAAAAUAAUACCCGAAUAAAAAUUACCUUUUACUAGCUAAAAUUUACUAUUUUUACCAUCGUCGUAUUUUCCUCAUACGAAUAAUCCUCCGCACAUAAUCGUCCCCGAAACCCCUCUAGGGACCAAUUAAACUAUUUACUCAAUGAUCGAGACGGUAAAAUUCUUAUUAUAAUCACGCUAGUAAAUAAGGUAAAAAUAUAAGGGUCGGGAUGUGACAAAAUAGGCCUAAGCCUGAUGUCGAUCCGAGGCCUCUUCUGCUCGAGCCUCCUCACGUCCUGUUCCAAAUGUAUAAUUAAAUUCCCAACCGAAAUUCUAAUAUUUACACAAAAUAGGCAAAAUUAAAUGUGAGCUUUAACCACGCUCAUCAUUGCCUAACUUUGAAAGUCCUAAUUCAAAACGUUUCAAUCUUCAAUACCAUACUCGGCAACCUUAUUACAACCUUCCACAGAUUAAACAACUUUAAUCCAACAGCCGGAUUCUAUCCUAAUUAACCGUCAAAAUACCAAAAUUUGAAAAAUCUCAAACCUAUCCAAAACUCUUCCAAAAAUUCAAGACUUCACAAAAUUAAACUCCCCUUAAUAUAUCACAAUAAAAACCAUAAAAAUACCCUAAACAGCGGCGACCUCCAAUGUCUACCAAAAUUUGACAACAUCUUCCUCUCAACUCGCUCUACAACUUUCCUAACUAGCACAAACACCAAUUCCAAGCCUAACUAGGCCAAUCGAACGAAAACAUAGAAUUGAGCCCUAGAACUUCUACUCACCGAUUCUUCUCACCUGAAGCAAACUAGAUUGAGUCCUUUUAAGGCAAGGCUACUGGGUUGAAGACCUUCAAAAUCAUAUAAAGCUUGCCCAGAUUGGUGGCCGGAGGAGGAAGUUCCGGCGACAGAACACCAUGAACCACCGGAGCUCUCUCGGGCGCGAUAACUCCUUCACGGCGGUGCUAGAGAGGCUGCCACGGGUCCAGGAAGGAAGAGGAGGUGAUGGUUGACCGUUUGGGACCAGUGUGAUGGUUUACGAUGGCCGGACGGUGACGGACUACUGUUUUGAAAUUCCGACAGGGAGAGAGGGAGGGAAUCGGGAGAGAGAGAGAGGAAAAAGAGGGAGAGAGUGUUGGGCCUUUCUCCUCCCAACUGGUCCUAACCCACCAAAUAAACCCAACUCCAAAAAUUAACACCCCAAAAAUAAUACCUUAUUAAAAAUUACAUUUUUACUAGCUAAAAUUUACAAUUUUUACUAUCGUCAAAUAUUUCUCCCACGAAUAAAUCAUCCGAAAUAAUCGUCCCUCAAAACCCCUCUAGGGACCUUUGAAACUAUAAACCUAUUAACAAAGACGGUAAAACUCUUAUUAUUACCAAGCUAGUAAAUAAGGUAAAAAUUUAAGAGUCGGCAUGUGACAAGCAUAGCAUCGAAGAGAUAUGAGUUUUGGGAUAGAGUUUAUGACCGGAUGAUAGUUUAGACAUUUUGUCUAAGAUGUGGGUCGGAGUCUGAAAGGUGGGGCCUCAUGUCGAGGCCAACUCAUCUUGGGACGUCAUGUUUAGAGUCAAACUCGAAAUUUUAAGAAAACUGAUGAAAAUUGAAAGUAUAAGGACCAUCAUGAUUAAAAAAGAAAAGUAUAGGGACCAAACUGAUUUUAACCUCAAAGUUUGAGUAGGCAAACUGAAUUUAAACAAGCAAGGUUUUAAAAUAGACUACUAUUAGGCCAUCUCCAACAAUGGGUCUAAAACCUAAAAUAGGUUUAGGAUUUAAAAUAUCUCAUCACCAACCUAUAUUCCAAAUUGAGCAACUAAUAAACUUGAUUUUAGAAGCUUUAAAUCUAUUUUUUGGAGUAACAAAUGGAGUUCUAAAGCUUCAAAACAGAAAAGGAACAAUUCCAAAACAUUAGAACGAUUUUAAACACAUCAAACAUUGAACCAAAAAGAUCCAAAAUUUGAUUUGGACUCCCAAACUCAAGAACCAUGUUCUUGAGCUUCAACCACAACGAUUCUAAUCAGAAACAUCCUAAUCAAAUUAGAAUUUGCUUUUAAACAUAUGUCUGAGAAUUUGAACUUCCAACUAUAAUCAAAUAUAAGAAUCAUAACCAAAAUCUCAAAAUCUAAAAUCAAAGUAAAUAGAAUUGACAGAAUCUAAGAACAAAUUGAAAUAACGCUAGAACAAGAAUUGAAUCUACCUUUGCCAAAAACGAAAUUGAAAGGGGUUCUACUCUCUCUGUCUGUGUUUCAUGUUUCUGUCCCAAAACUCUCUAUUUGUUCUAUCAAAAGUUUUUCCGACUUCCCCAUCCUCAUCUCAUACCAUAGGCCUAGACCCUACUCCCUAGGCUAGUCGGCUAAUCUAU